This 440-nucleotide ribosomal RNA is filed under the name uncultured bacterium. Its description in RNAcentral is "partial 16S ribosomal RNA". It matches the Rfam family "Bacterial small subunit ribosomal RNA", at positions 338 to 795 of the family's 1533-position model. The record is from RNAcentral.
CCUACGGGUGGCAGCAGUAGGGAAUAUUGCUCAAUGGGGGAAACCCUGAAGCAGCAACGCCGCGUGGAGGAUGAAGGUUUUCGGAUUGUAAACUCCUUUUGUUAGAGAAGAUAAUGACGGUAUCUAACGAAUAAGCACCGGCUAACUCAGUGCAAGCAGCCGCGGUACUCCGGAGGGUGCAAGCUUUACUCGGAAUCACUGGGCGUAAAGAGCGCGUAGGCGGGAUAGCAAGGCAGAUGUGAAAUCCUAUGGAUUAACCAUAGAACUGCAUUUGACACUGUUAUUCUAGAGUAUGGGAGAGGUAGGUGGAAUUCUGGGUGUAGGGGGAAAAGCCGGAGAGAUCAAGAGGAAUACUCAUUGCGAAGGCGACCUGCGAGAACAUAACUGACGCUGAUGCGCGAAAGCGUGGGGAGCAAACAGGAUUAGAUACCAUAGUAGGC